GGUGGCUCAGUGUUUAAACCAUUUGGCUGCUAAACAAAAGGUCGGUGGUUCAAACCCACCAGCCACUC
Molecule: transfer RNA, 68 nt
Filed under: Loxodonta africana (African savanna elephant)
Lineage: Eukaryota; Metazoa; Chordata; Mammalia; Proboscidea; Elephantidae
Rfam family: tRNA
About the family: Transfer RNA (tRNA) molecules are approximately 80 nucleotides in length. Their secondary structure includes four short double-helical elements and three loops (D, anti-codon, and T loops). Further hydrogen bonds mediate the characteristic L-shaped molecular structure. tRNAs have two regions of fundamental functional importance: the anti-codon, which is responsible for specific mRNA codon recognition, and the 3' end, to which the tRNAs corresponding amino acid is attached (by aminoacyl-tRNA synthetases). tRNAs cope with the degeneracy of the genetic code in two manners: having more than one tRNA (with a specific anti-codon) for a particular amino acid; and 'wobble' base-pairing, i.e. permitting non-standard base-pairing at the 3rd anti-codon position.
Source: Rfam by way of RNAcentral